GAAGCGAGGGAGGGAAGGCAAUUAGGACAAAUUGGCUCCUUCCACUACGCAGCUCGCUGCACGCACGCUGGCAACCUGCCUUGGCCUGCAUCACCUGACGCCGCUGUGGGAGCGCGGUAAUUCUCCAAUACUUUUACUCGUGCGUCCGGCAGUAUAUAUGUCCAAAUGAAAUCUGCAACAAGCUCUGUGGAACAUUGCUACUUGCGAAGGAAAGACCCACAACGCUGACGACCCCGGGAACGAUCUAUUGCUUCCACACAUUGCUCGCUGUACCACUUGUUGCUGAAUAUUUUCUCGGCAAACCCAUACAAUUUUUUUUGGGGGCGGAAGCGCUUGCGGCAUAGUAGAAUCAGCACCAUAUCAGAGGCUACAAUUUUGUUGUAUGUCCUGUAAUGGCUGCCUCAACCUGGUACCUACCUCCUGGUACCUUCCCAUGCAGGCGCUUUGCAACUACCGCUUCCGCUUUGCAACUCCCCUCUGUGCCACGGGUGCCAGCAUGUCGCCCCCAGCAUCGCGCCCUUGGCUCAGAACUAUAACCAUGGCCCGUGCGAUGGCCAUCGCCGCAGCCGCCGCAGCUCUGGGAGGUCGUUGAGGCCACAACAACAACCGAAAUGCUUGCACCUGCUGUUUUGCCAAGUAGUCCUAUGCGCUUGCUUGCUCGCUGCGAGCAGCUGCUUUGCAUGCAGAAAGGAAGAUACGGUGAUAAGGACAGGUAUGUAAUGUUAAUGAAUCUGCGUCCACACUUCCCGCCAUCCACGGCUAGGCCCUGCCCUGCCUGCAUCCAGUCCCGUCGCUUCCUGACUUGUCCUUUGUUGCGACGGAUGCCUUCCGUGUACUUCCAUUCAUGGAGUUAUUCAUUCAGAUUGGAGCGUCCAUAGGACUUACACAGCGAGGAAGAGCGCUCCAUCUUCUCCUCUCACUCUUCCUGAAGUUUGGAACGACGCAGCGCGAAAAUGAGAGCUUCACGGUUUCCAUUUGCAACUUGUUCGUCGAAAAUGCCGUACCUUGACAUGUCAC
This 1017-nucleotide long non-coding RNA is filed under the name Volvox carteri. Its description in RNAcentral is "long non-coding RNA (VCAR_LNC000760)". The record is from RNAcentral. Lineage: Eukaryota; Viridiplantae; Chlorophyta; Chlorophyceae; Chlamydomonadales; Volvocaceae.